UACAGAGGUGGCGAGCGUUGUUCGGAUUUAUUGGGCGUAAAGGGUCCGCAGGCGGUCCGGAAAGUCGGAUGUGAAAUCCCACAGCUUAACUGUGGAACUGCAUUCGAAACUCCCGGACUUGAGUGUGAGAGGGGUAAAGGGAAUUCCCGGUGUAAGGGUGAAAUCUGCAGAUAUCGGGAAGAACACCAGUCGCGAAGGCGCUUUACUGGCUCACUACUGACGCUCAGGGACGAAAGCUAGGGGAG
Molecule: ribosomal RNA, 245 nt
Filed under: uncultured bacterium
Lineage: Bacteria
Description: partial 16S ribosomal RNA
Rfam family: Bacterial small subunit ribosomal RNA
Source: RNAcentral